UUAAAAUUAGACCUCAACAUUCGUCCGGGUCUUAUUGACUUUACCCACUAAUAAGUCAACAUUUGACUGACGCACACUAUUUUUAAGGUUAGAGUAGGCCAGAAAGGUAAACAAAUAGUAUCAAAGUCUAACACGGUCUAACACAACAUAUAGCCUAUCACCAUUCUUUUUUUUUAGAUCUUGUACUAUACCAGCAGAGUGCUGGUAACUCGUAUACGUAAAUUAAAGAUUUUUAUCAUCGGUCAUGAGAUAAAGUUGCAUGUUUACCUGGUUGGUUCGUCAAGAAAGAGGAUGUCUGGAUUGUCCAGCAACUCCAGUCCGAUCGAAAGCCUUUUGCAUUCGCCACCCGACAAGCAGCCGAUUUGCGUACGUCUGCUUUCCGUUAACCCCAGCGUUUU
Daphnia pulicaria is the source of this 398-nucleotide long non-coding RNA. RefSeq lists it as uncharacterized. The record is from RefSeq and is a predicted model, not a curated record. NCBI's taxonomy places the organism in Eukaryota, Metazoa, Arthropoda, Branchiopoda, Diplostraca, Daphniidae. The transcript is spliced from 2 exons.